UUAGGAAUAUUCGUCAAUGGGGGGAACCCUGAACGAGCAAUGCCGCGUGAGUGAAGAAGGUCUUUGGAUUGUAAAACUCUGUUGUAUGGGAAGAAAUCCUAAAUUAGGAAAUGAAAUUAGGUUGACGGUACCAUACCAGAAAGCCCCGGCUAACUACGUGCCAGCAGCCGCGGUAAUACGUAGGGGGCAAGCGUUAUCCGGAUUUAUUGGGCGUAAAGCGUGCGUAGGCGGCAUGUUAAGUUUAAGAUGAAAGGCUGGGGCUCAACUCCAGUUUGUCUUAAAAACUGGCAAGCUAGAGUAUGGUAGAGGUAAAUGGAAUUUCUAGUGUAGCGGUGAAAUGCGUAGAUAUUAGAAGGAACACCAGUGGCGAAGGCGAUUUACUGGGCCAAAACUGACGCUGAGGCACGAAAGCGUGGGGAGCAAAUAGG
This 428-nucleotide ribosomal RNA is filed under the name uncultured bacterium. RNAcentral describes it as "bacterial SSU rRNA". It matches the Rfam family "Bacterial small subunit ribosomal RNA", at positions 355 to 776 of the family's 1533-position model. The record is from RNAcentral.